RNAcentral lists this long non-coding RNA (586 nucleotides) under Pan paniscus (pygmy chimpanzee). RNAcentral describes it as "lncRNA (ENSPPAG00000045063.1)". The record is from RNAcentral. Lineage: Eukaryota; Metazoa; Chordata; Mammalia; Primates; Hominidae.
AAGUCUCAGAACUUUUAAGUUUAAUUUUACUGUAUUUUAUUUCAUUUUUUCCCAGAGCUCCUUUCUGACAACUUGCAAUUGAUCCAACAUUUGAAACCUUAUGCAGGAGCCGGACAGCUUGGUUUUGAAUUAUAAUCUUACAAAUUACUGGCUGUGUGUUAAAUCUUUAAAUUACUGGCUGUGUGACUUUGCAUGAAGAAGAAAAUGCUUUGUCAAGAAAUUCUUUUUUGGACUGAAUUCAUUGUUGCAAAAGAUAGUUAUUUUGGAAAGAAAUUGCUUUAACAGUUUUGCCUGCUACACAAUGACUUGUAUGAAUACAUCCAUAGGCAUAGCGAUAGAAUAAUGAACAGAAAAAUUAAGAAGAACCUGAAAUUAAUAAAUACCUAGGUAUUUGUCAGAUGGAACUGAAUGCACAGAAUCCAUUUUGAUGUUAGAAAAGCAAGUCUCCAGUGAAACUCUGUAUAGUGAAACUAUCCAGAAGCCUGCUCUGUGUUUGAAAGACUUUCUUCUUAGAUUUUUAUCCUCUUUCUCUGAAGAACUCCAGAAAUCAGUAAAUACCUAUCAUACUCAGUGGAACCAACACUGA